Molecule: long non-coding RNA, 1227 nt
Filed under: Olea europaea subsp. europaea
Lineage: Eukaryota; Viridiplantae; Streptophyta; Magnoliopsida; Lamiales; Oleaceae
Source: RNAcentral
UAUGGGGGCCUUCACGUGUCCCAAACCACAUGCAAAAUGGUUUGUUACAUUCAUCGACGAUCAUACUCGAAUUUGUUGGGUAUAUUUAUUAAAAGAAAAAUCCGAUGUUCGGUCCGUGUUCAUAAACUUCCACUCUAUGAUUCAAACACAAUUUCAAACACAAAUUCAAAUUUUACACAGCGACAAUGGCACGGAAUAUUUCAAUAACAUCAUGGGAAAUUUCUUGCAUGCUCAUGGCAUAAUUCAUCAAAGCACUUGCGUCAACACUCCCCAACAAAAUGGGAUUGCCGAACAAAAAAAUAGACAUCUUCUAGAAGUUGCUCGUGCCCUAAUGUUUACUACGAACAUGCCAAAAAUAUUCUGGGGGGAUGCGGUCCUUACAUCCACCUAUCUAAUCAACCGAAUGCCUAGUCGUGUCCUAAACUUUGCAACACCUCUCCAAAAAUUUCAAAAAUAUUUCCCAAAUUCUCGCCUCCACUCUAAUCUUCCCCUAAGAGUGUUUGGGUGCACCGCAUUCGUACAUGUUCACCCCAAUCACAGAAGUAAACUUGAUCCACGUGCAAUUAAAUGUGUCCUGAUCGGAUAUUCUCCUACUCAAAAGGCUACAAAUGUUAUGAUCCUUCCACUAAACGGACCUUUGUAAGCCUUGAUGUAACUUUCUUCCAGAAUGCCCCAUAUUUUACAACCACCGAUCUUCAGGGGGAUAUCUCACAUGAAGAUCGGUUCCUCGACCUCAGCCUCUCAACUCCUGAACAUACGUCACAUAUCCCAUCAAUUAAUACGCCACCAACUAAAAUACCGCUACCAGAAAGAAACUUGAAUCUAGGGGGAGAGGUAGAAAAAUAAAACGAUAAGGAAAUACUAGUUUACUCCAGAAAGCAAAAAUCAAAGUACUCAGAGAAUCUCACAUCUGAAGCACCAAAAGAGUCAGAACCGAUGGUAGCUCCAGAACCCCAAAAAGCAUCAGAAAUUUCUGAUGCUGAUUUACCCAUUGCUCUCAGAAAACAAAAACGGUUAUGUACACUUCAUCCUAUUUCAAAAUACAUGUCCUAUAAUGCCCUAUCUGCAGGAUUUCGUGCUUUUACAUCUCAUCUUGACAGGACAGUGAUUCCGAAAAAUAUUCAUGAAGCCUUAGAACUUCCUAAAUGGAGAGAAGCAGUGUUGGAAGAAAUGCAAGCAUUAGAAAAAAAUGAAACUUGGGAAGUGAUGAACUUACCACAGGGAAAG